UGCUGGGUCGUCUAGCAGUAGGACAGCGGUCUCUGAAGCCGCGAACGCAUGUGCGACUCAUGCCCCGGCAG
This 71-nucleotide transfer RNA is filed under the name Opitutus terrae PB90-1. It matches the Rfam family "tRNA". Rfam says of the family: Transfer RNA (tRNA) molecules are approximately 80 nucleotides in length. The record is from Rfam by way of RNAcentral. Lineage: Bacteria; Pseudomonadati; Verrucomicrobiota; Opitutia; Opitutales; Opitutaceae.